UCACACACACACACCCCCCCUCCAUAACCCGGGCUACCCCACAAGUUCCCCCCCCCCGCCUUCUCCUCCUCCUCUCAGGAACGGCAGCCGCUGUGCCGUCGCCCCGGCGGCGGGUUGAAGUUGCCGGCGGAGUCAUGAUUCAGCACUUCUAUUUUUAACCGCCGGGGCGGCCGCGGGCGCGCAGAGACCGCCGGUUCUCCGCGCCGCUUCCCCCCCCUCCUCCCGCCCGCCGCUUUCCUAUGGGCUUUGCGCUAAUUGCCGCCGCCGCCGCGGUGGGAGGCCGGGGGGGGUAGGGGGACAGCAGCCGGAGGACGGCGUCAAACCGAAGGGGAAGGGUGCGGAGCUGCCGUGCUUGUUAUCUAAUUGGAGAUUCAAAGUACGUAUGAGGUCUUGGAUCGGGUGCAUUAGAACCAUCCUUUUGUCUCAGAGCAUCUCUUCAGGGAAGCUGAACUGCCGGGUGCCAGUGACAGGGCUUUCAAAACCAAACGAAGCUGUGGAAACAAGGAGGAGUCACCAAAGGAAAAGUAAGAGACGGGGAAUAAAGUGAAAGGGUUUACCUUUAAAAAUAGUCUUGUUAACUCCGAGGACUGCAGAGAUGAGCGCAUCUUCACUACAGCAACCCGCGGGUGAAUCACUGGUUUCAGUACAAAACUCGGCUCGGGGGCUGCAGCAAGAGCUCCACAGUGAUUUACAUCAACCACUCACCUGCCCCCAGAUGAUAUUCGGCAGAGCAGCUGUCUUGAUCUUGAGGACCAAGUGAUGGUUUGGACACCAGGAGACCAGCAUGCACAUCCAACCAUGGUCAGGGGUCCUCCUCAUAACUUCAGCCAAGUCAUUGUUUCUCUCCGUUUCAGUUCUCCGUUUCUAAAAUACAGGGAACAAUGCAAUGAGAGUUUUUAUUUUGCCGAGCAAUGCCCCCAGGAGCAAUCCUCCGCUUUGCCACGGACUGCUGCCACAUUAUAGAGGUCACUUCAGCAUAUCUGUGAAAGAGCCAGCUCUGGAGCUCCUGUCAGUCCAGUUGGCAGCCUCUUUCCCCUCCAUUUCCAUCAGCAAGACCUUCACACACCCGUGUCAGCCCUGGGACUGUGUCCAGCCACACAAGCUCAGCUGCCCUGGGCAUCACAGGCUGUGCCGACAACCACCUACUCUUGGGACCUGUGAUGUCCCUCCAGGCAUUUGCUCAGUCUCCAUGGGCCUCAGCUCACACAGGACCCUAUGUGCUGGAGAUACGAGUUCCCCCGUAUCACAAGGACCCUGGGAGGAGAAUUUAAUUCCUUCUUGCUCGUCAAUAACAAACUUUGAUAGGUCUCAGUGAAAGGCUCAGCCUGUUUUCAUCAAAAUAUUUAAACUAUGUGUGCAAGGGUCUCUUCCAACCUAGACGACUCUAUGAUUCUAUGAUUUAACCCAUAUAUCUGUCUGUAUGCACAUGCAUGUAUGUGAGAAUUAUUAUUCAAAACCGCCAUCAUGCUUUUAUGUAAAUUCUGGUUUAAAUUAUCGAAUUCACCUUUUCUAUAUGCCUGUGUAAGAUCAAGGUAUUUUUGGGAGUUCACUCCCAAAAAGCUUGUAUUAGGUAUUGACAUAAAUAAUAGCCCAUCACAAGCGAAAGCUCCAGAUUUAUUUAUAAUUAGCAAAUUGAAAAAGACAUCUCUUAACUGUUGCCUUGGACAGCUAUGAACACCACAGAGCUGCAGACCCCUGGAUCAGCUUUCUUGCCUUUAGACUGAGCCCUCUUUUCUCUACCCAUAGAAAUGGCACUUUGAAGACAAACUGGAUCAAAUCCCAACAUACUUUGAAGAGGACAAACGUAGACCUUUCUUUACUUAACUGUGCACUGGGCAAUCUAAAAACCAUAUAAGCACUAAUCUAUUCAUUAUUCCAUCUCCUCCUCUUUACUACAAUAAAGCACUGUUUUAUGCUUAUAUGCAUCAAUAAAGAGACCUAUAAAGAAAAUAAUGAACAUCCUUGAAUAUCUUCAGAGCAUACCCUAUUAAUUUUAAAAGGGACACAACAUACUGUACCCCUUGUAUUUCACCAGGAUAAAAGCCUAUAGAUUAAUCCCUAUUAAAACAGUUGGUAUUUUCAGGACAUGCAGAUGUAAUUUAUGGAGAGGCACAAUGCUCAUAAUAGCUCAAAGGCCACAGAAACUGUAGAUCUGUGUCUGUUACUGUAGUUGUACAGGCAUUCAUUGUACAGAGAGCAGUUGAAAAGGCAGAGUAUGUAAUCUGAAUACUAAAUUUGUGAAUAGUUUCUCACUUGGGCUGGUGAGGCUUUUCAAGAGCAGCGGAUGCUUUGUGGGGGACUUUGUAAAACAUUCUGCUAAUAUAUCACAUGGUUGCUGCAUUUUCUUCUCUUAUCUUUACUGUUAGGGCUUUAUUCAUGAAGACACAAUAUUUGAUUCUUAAAUGGGCACCAGCUCCUUCUCUGUACUCUUCACCUGAAUUUGGUGUGCUCGGUGUGAGACAAUUUUCACAAACAAAUACUUCUGCCUUAUUCUAUAAAGUGGACAACUUUAGAUGUAUAUAACCCAGAAGUAUACAAGAAAUAAAGAUCCUUUCCCCCA
Molecule: long non-coding RNA, 2560 nt
Organism: Calidris pugnax (ruff)
Lineage: Eukaryota; Metazoa; Chordata; Aves; Charadriiformes; Scolopacidae
Exons: 3
Source: RefSeq, a predicted model, not a curated record